Molecule: non-coding RNA, 23 nt
Filed under: Arabidopsis thaliana (thale cress)
Lineage: Eukaryota; Viridiplantae; Streptophyta; Magnoliopsida; Brassicales; Brassicaceae
Source: RNAcentral
UAUACGAAACAGAUUCAGCACGG